GACACGGCCCAGACUCCUACGGGAGGCAGCAGUGGGGAAUAUUGCACAAUGGGCGCAAGCCUGAUGCAGCAACGCCGCGUGAGGGAUGACGGCCUUCGGGUUGUAAACCUCUUUUAGCAGGGAAGAAGCGAAAGUGACGGUACCUGCAGAAAAAGCGCCGGCUAACUACGUGCCAGCAGCCGCGGUAAUACGUAGGGCGCAAGCGUUAUCCGGAAUUAUUGGGCGUAAAGAGCUCGUAGGCGGUUUGUCGCGUCUGCUGUGAAAUCCGGAGGCUCAACCUCCGGCCUGCAGUGGGUACGGGCAGACUAGAGUGCGGUAGGGGAGAUUGGAAUUCCUGGUGUAGCGGUGGAAUGCGCAGAUAUCAGGAGGAACACCGAUGGCGAAGGCAGAUCUCUGGGCCGUAACUGACGCUGAGGAGCGAAAGGGUGGGGAGCAAACAGGCUUAGAUACCCUGGUAGUCCACCCCGUAAACGUUGGGAACUAGUUGUGGGGUCCAUUCCACGGAUUCCGUGACGCAGCUAACGCAUUAAGUUCCCCGCCUGGGGAGUACGGCCGCAAGGCUAAAACUCAAAGGAAUUGACGGGGACCCGCACAAGCGGCGGAGCAUGCGGAUUAAUUCGAUGCAACGCGAAGAACCUUACCAAGGCUUGACAUAUACGAGAACGGGCCAGAAAUGGUCAACUCUUUGGACACUCGUAAACAGGUGGUGCAUGGUUGUCGUCAGCUCGUGUCGUGAGAUGUUGGGUUAAGUCCCGCAACGAGCGCAACC
Molecule: ribosomal RNA, 769 nt
Filed under: Wolbachia endosymbiont of Drosophila bocki
Lineage: Bacteria; Pseudomonadati; Pseudomonadota; Alphaproteobacteria; Rickettsiales; Anaplasmataceae
Description: bacterial SSU rRNA
Rfam family: Bacterial small subunit ribosomal RNA
Source: RNAcentral